AUUUGGACUAUAAAUAAGACAUGUUCCCACCCUAAUAAUCAGAGUAUUCACCAACUGUCUCCAAAAUCAUCUAACAGAUCAAAGCAAACCAAAGAAUACAGUAUGGCUAAUACCGUAACUUUAUUGUAUGUUUGUUUGAUCGUGGUAGCCUCUAUCUACCCCAGUCACUCAAACUGUCAACUCAAAGACAGUAAAACAAAACCACUGUGUAAAACCAACUCCGUCAAGUGUUGUGAUGAAUUAUUAGUCAAAAGUUAUAAUUGUGCAAGGGAUGAGUUGUGGAGAAGGAUGUAUUGUUCUCCUCUUGGCGCCUGUGGUGAUAAUGUCCUAAAAUCAUGUUGUCUGGGUUACUACAUGAAAUUUCUAAAAUAUCCUCCGGAUGGAAGUUGCAACAGUUUUAAAACGGCGAACCAGUAAAUUGUAUCUUGGCUGAACUUCAAGAUAUACUAACUACUAACUUAUUUCAUUAUAUAACAUUCACUUCACACUAUAACGACGUUGUUCUACAGUGUCGUCUUCUAUUCUUUCCUUUUAUGUAUACAUUCCGCUUCGUAAAUAUCAUUUUUUAAUAA
Patella vulgata (common limpet) is the source of this 572-nucleotide long non-coding RNA. RefSeq lists it as uncharacterized. The transcript is spliced from 3 exons. The record is from RefSeq and is a predicted model, not a curated record. NCBI's taxonomy places the organism in Eukaryota, Metazoa, Mollusca, Gastropoda, Patellidae.